UAUGUAGGGGGCUAGCGUUGUCCGGAAUCAUUGGGCGUAAAGAGCGUGUAGGCGGUCCGGUAAGUCCGCUGUGAAAGUCGGGGGCUCAACCCUCGAAUGCCGGUGGAUACUGUCGGGCUAGAGUGCGGAAGAGGCGAGUGGAAUUCCUGGUGUAGCGGUGAAAUGCGCAGAUAUCAGGAGGAACACCUAUUGCGAAGGCAGCUCGCUGGGACGUAACUGACGCUGAGACGCGAAAGCGUGGGGAGCAAAUAGG
This 253-nucleotide ribosomal RNA is filed under the name uncultured bacterium. RNAcentral's name for it is "partial 16S ribosomal RNA". It matches the Rfam family "Bacterial small subunit ribosomal RNA", at positions 524 to 776 of the family's 1533-position model. The record is from RNAcentral.